UAAAACAUGGCUCUUUGAGCUAUUACUGAUAGAGAGUCUGACCUGCCCGGUGAAAUGAUUUUUAAACGGCCGCAGUACCCUGACUGUGCAAAGGUAGCACAAUCACUUGCCUUUUAAUUGGAGGCUAGUAUCAAAGGUUUGACGAGAGUAUUACUGUCUCUCUUUUAAAAUUAAAAUUUAUUUUUCAGGUUAAAAAACUUGAAUUUUAUUGUAGGACGAGAAGACCCUAUCGAGCUUUUAAUAAGAUAUUAAAUAAUAAUUAUCUUGCAAAAUAUAUGUUUAUAGUUUAGUUUUUAGUUGGGGCAACGGCGGGGCAAAAAAAACCCCCGUUUUAUAAAUUGAUUAAAAUGAUCCAACAUUGUUGAAGGAUGACUUAGUUACCGUAGGGAUAACAGCGUAAUUUUUUUGGAGAGAUCAUAUUGAUAAAGAAGAUUACGACCUCGAUGUUGGAUUAGGUAUUAUCUUAGGGCGUAGAGGCUUUAAAAUGAUUAGUCUGUUCGACUAUUAAAUUCCUACGUGAUCU
Molecule: ribosomal RNA, 523 nt
Filed under: Leptopoma sericatum
Lineage: Eukaryota; Metazoa; Mollusca; Gastropoda; Architaenioglossa; Cyclophoridae
Description: partial 16S ribosomal RNA
Rfam family: Bacterial large subunit ribosomal RNA
Source: RNAcentral